Molecule: small nucleolar RNA, 71 nt
Organism: Delphinapterus leucas (beluga whale)
Lineage: Eukaryota; Metazoa; Chordata; Mammalia; Artiodactyla; Monodontidae
Product: small nucleolar RNA SNORD113/SNORD114 family
Source: Ensembl
UGGAUCGAUGAUGACUACUGGUGGCGUAUGAGUCGUGUACAAUGAAUACGUUCUGGAACUCUGAGGUCCGA